AUAUUAACUGAACAAUGAAAAGAAGUUUAUGCAACAAACAGCAAUUAGAAAGUAAAUAAGUUGAGUCUGUAGGUAAAAUGUAAAGAAGUUUACAGCACUUACCGAAGGAGGAAGGAAGGAGGAAGAAAGACUUGGUAGUGGGGGGGCUGGCGGAGAAGGGGUUCUUUGGAAGGCAUGGCCUUCUUUCCGCACCGUUCAACCAUUUCUCAACAUUUAGGGGGUUCACGGUGAUCUUGCAUCCAAACUUCACUACAAAUAAAGUUAUAUCACAGAAAAUACGUUGAGGGCACAAUAAAAGUAAAUACGUGAGUAGUUCAAAAGGUGUAAAACCAGUGCGUGCGCACAGCCCACUGACGAGUCACGGGACAUGCUUCCUCCUCCUUCCUCCUCCUUCCUCCACUGCGCAGUGUGCUUCGGGUUCAUCCCCACGCGGCAGCCACUCCUCUUCCUUCCAUGUGAUGUUCUCCGACUAGAAACUGCUGUGCCGAGUAAUAAGCUGGUGACUGUGUCUUUGCCUGAAACCAUAAAGUCAAAAUAUUACUUCUUGCAGCAUAUGGCAUUGGGUGAAAACAUGGUCAUACUGAAAAAAAAAGAAGCCACUGUCUGAAAAGCGUGGAACCGUUCAAAGCCGUAACGGCAGUAGGUCAUUACCGAACGUCUGUGUGCGGGCUGCGGGUGUAGCUGAGGGGCCGGGGCAGGAAGAGGCAGCACCCAGGCCUCCUUACAGGGUCUCACUGGGUAACAGUGAGCGGAGUCCUUCCGGCCGCGGGGGAGCCCGGACUGCAGACAAGCCUCCGCACACCCCGCCUCCCGGGCAGGGCCCAGGGCCCAAACUCCCUCCUGUGUUCUCCUUCAGCCGGAUUUGAGGGACUCGGGUGUGUCUGGGCUGAAAGUGUUAGAGCUUCCACCAAGCUGCUGCGGAUGUCCCCAGUGGGCGUUCGCUUGUGACUCUUAAAGAAACAGGCCUGAGGCCCGCUCUGACGGCCAGAGUCAGCUUAAGGGCUUGUUUCGUUCCGGGAGGAAUCGAGUCGCGUUGGGCAGUGAACACCCCCUGGGAGAAAGAACAGGACGCUUCACCUGUGCCCGCUGCUGUGUCCCCGGUUCUUCUGAAAUCUCCCGCACGCCGCGUCUGUUCUUAUUCCCCUGGGCCCGCUGGAAGCCCAGCUAGGGGCAGCCAGGGCCAAAGGGCACGGGCUUCGGGGCUGGCCAGAAGGGCACUCGGCUCCCCCACUUCCUCCCCUGACCACAUUCAAGUCGUCCCUCCCCUCCCGCCACCUCCCGCAACCUUCCUCCGCCCUCGCGUCCUCCUCGGAUGGCAUCACGCACGUUCUCUCUUAGCUGACGUCACCAGGCGCGAGCGUUCAUCCGCAUCUCAUCGGGAAGACUUUCCAGGGCUGGACUUGAACCCUGGAGCGCUCCCGGCACGUGUCUGUCCCUCCAGCGGUUCGGGGACUCUAGGAGACUCUUUCUCUGGCUCUCGCGCUGGCUCCCUGCCGCUGGCGCUCUCCCGGCCGUCGUCACCGUCCCGUCGUCACCGUCCCGGGAGGAGGGCCGGCCCGCAGUCGGCCUGUGGACUGCGGCGUGAGCGCCCGCGAGCUACGAGUCCUCCAACGGGCCCCGUGCUGCCAAGGCUAGUGAAGCCUGAGCGUCCGCUGCUCAGGGACAGAGAGGAGUCAGCUCGACCCGGAGGCCAGAGAGACCCCGGCUCCUCCGGGCCGUGACCUGGGGCCCCCGCCCUGCCCUGCGGCCCGCGGACUGCCCAACCUGACCGUAGAAUUUCUCUCGGUGUUUGGCGAGGGCCUUAGGGAGCCCAGACCCAGAACGCGAGCCUGGUUGAGAACGUGGAGAGACGCAGGUCGCUGGAACUCGCUGUCGUGGGAAACAGCGGCCACUCGCCGCCGAGGCAGAGGGCUCGCGGGCAGCAGCGGCGGCCGCAGGAGGCAGCCCGGAGGAGCCGGCGCCCGUUCUCCUCCCGCUCGGCUCUCCCCCAGCGCCCCCGCGGGCACCACCGGCGGGCAGCCGGCCGGCCGAGAGAGACGCGCUCGGCGUCCCAGCCCAGCGUCGCCGAGCGAGCGCAGGACGGCUCCGAAGCUGAGACAGUAGCCUAGGGAUCCGCACGUGGACCCUCACAUAUUAAAUGACUAUACAUUGGAGAGAGAAGAUCCAAGAUGGCGCCGUGAGUAGUCCUCUUUGUCUCUCCCCCUUCGAGUCUACAAUUAUUUGGACACUUAUCGCUUGACAAAGGAUAUCCAGACAGCAUCUCAGGAUGUCUGAGAGACCCACGCGACUAUACAUCGGAAGGCGGAUGGACUUUCCUCCGGGAGGAUGUGGAAAUAGGUGAAAACUCUCCGACCCCGACGAGCAGCCUAGUACCUGCAAGCGGCUUUCUUCCAACGGACGCCCCCAGAGGAUCUACACACAUCUAGGGCAGGAGCGAGCACACAACAGAGGAGCGACGGUGGAAACAGAUAUUGCCAGGUUUACACAUUCCUGUCAUCAGUGUGUGAGGAUGUCUGCUUCCCACACUCUGCCAACAUCGCAUCUUGCUCUGGAGACUUUCUGGUCUUUGUCAAUCUGACAGCGGGUCCUUGGACUUGGGCUUCCCGUACGUGAAAAGGAUGGUCCCAUAGAAGACGACCACAACUGUGAGGUGGAAAGAGCAGGUGGAGAAGGCCUUUUUCCUUCCCUCAGCUGAGGGGAUCCUCAGGAUGGUAGCAAUGAUGAACACAAAAGAGAAAGAGAUGAACACAACUAGGACCCCCUAGGAAGAUCACACUGGCCACCGCCAUACUGAUCACAUUGAUGGAGAUGUCAGCACAGGCCAACUUCAGGACAGCCAGGAUCUCACAGUUAACAUAAUUUGGUGUCAGAGAAGUGGAAUCCAAAGAGGACCCCCAGCAACUCUGAGAAUGGUGAGCAAACUGGUAUCAGUACCCACACACAGAGCCCAUUGAGGGCACUGCUUUCUGGCUGACUCACAGUGUGAAGAAAGGGACUAUACCAGGUCCUCCUCACUACCCAGAUGGCAGCCAAUCUUCAGGGAUUUGAAGCUUGGGUGCACAUAUCAGCACUAAAGAAGGCUCCACCUGACAUCUGGUUCUGAACAAAUGCUGGAGACUUCCAGGCCAAGCUGACUGGGAGGAGAGGCAGCCGACAUCUGAGGUGGACAGCUUUCCCAGGGUGACUGAACCAGGCCUCUGUGCCUUUUUCUAGCUGUUGCUUCUUCUCUCUUUCUUGUGUAGGGGCAAUGCCCUUGUCCACAUUCCCCAGGCCCCUGCAAAGGGGGAACCCUCUUCUUUUGAUUAUGGCCUUUCAGAAACAGCCUCAUCAUGAUCCCAUGACAAAUUAAUCUUUUCAUUUUUUUUUCUGGAGGGUUAGAAGAUUCCAAAUUCACAGAAAUUUUUCUUUCAUCUGGACUAUUAACUCACUCUAGA
Molecule: long non-coding RNA, 3434 nt
Organism: Equus asinus (donkey)
Lineage: Eukaryota; Metazoa; Chordata; Mammalia; Perissodactyla; Equidae
Source: Ensembl